CCCAACUAUUUUAUUUUUUCAUUAGGUGAAAAGCACAAACUUUACCUGAUACAAUACAGCAUAAAUCACAAAUACAUUCAUUCAUUCAUUAAUGUAGUGCUAUUAAUAUUGUGUUUGGAGCCUAAAGACACUAGCAAAAUUCCAUAGUUACAUCUACUUAGCAAACAUUAGGGCCAAACCCCACAAACCCAUUUGCCCCAUCAAAAGAAAUUUGAAUCCCCUCUUGCUGAAUGUUCCCUAUGAUGGAUAGUCCUGAAGGGGAUGCUGCAAACGCAAAACAAUAUGUCCCCACAUCAUCCACUGGAAUCAGAAAGUUGUUUGCUGGAAGGGUCAGGAUUGGCCCGCCCGAGAAAUAGAAUGAGACGGUUGGUACCCGAACCGACACAAACCCAAAUAGGUUAUAACAAGUAUCGAAUAUGGAUAUGCCGGAAGCCCGAGGGAGGUUUCCAGUUUGUGCGAUAAAAGCAUUACGGAAUGCCACGUAAGCCACCGUAGGAAGUCUAGUGACAGCAGUCCCAGUGUCCAUAACAACUCCCCCAUUGCCCACUUCAUUCAACUGAAAAACUUCUUCUGAUAUGGGCACCUUCAUGCCUCCGACUCCUAGACCCGAAAGCCCGAUAUAAUAGAAGCUUGGGGCCCGUGGGUUACGGAUCAGAGGAAUCCAAGCAGCACCCACGGGCAUUGCUCCACGCCCAAAUUCCAAUGAUCCAGAAACUUCGCUUCCCCGACUCACUAAACAGUAACUAAAUGCACCGCCAGUUUGACCUCCCAAUUGUCCCACCAGAGACAUGGAUCCACCUCCGAGGCCUAGUAGUCCGGCCGCUCCAACAAACAUGCCUCGGUUCCUGUGCCCGCACCCGAUGGCCACAUUGCGGACCACUGUCCGCCCGAAUGUAAGCGUUUCGAGGGCAAGGGUCCCCUUGGUGUAUGACCCAUCACCAUACAUUACCUCAUACCGACACCGACCCGCAUGGCAACCCGAGUUAUCAACUCUGUCACAAACCGCCGAGCUACAAGACACCCCUAUAAACGAUGCAGAGUUGGACGGGUCGAAUACUGGGUCGGUUUGAUUGUAACACUGGGUGCAAGGUUGGCAUUGGACCCAAACUAUAUCACUGCCCGAAUCAAUAACCACGUAUUGAUCUCUUGGCGGGCUGCCAACGCCUAUUCUAACAAAAUAUUCUCCGCUACCUUGAUCCAUGCCGGACACCACCUCCGAUCCAAAGUCCUCCACCGUAUAACUGGCGGUGCCUGAAAGGCGACGGAUGAGGCUAGCCACCCUCUUCAUGUCUCUGUGUAUGCGUGCAUGGAGAAGGUUGGAGUUGUUGAAACUUAUCUUGUCUCUAUGGACUAGUUUUAGCUUCCAUUGUCCGUUAGUUUGAGUGUCAUUCUGAUUCUUGAAGGGUUCUUGAUAUUGGGAUGUUUUGAAAGACUUAGUUUUUGUUUCCGUGAUAGCUUCUUUGACGUUCAAGAAUUGGAAAUCAGGGUAGGAGAUGGUAUUCGUUGUGAUGCUUGUCACAAGUAGUAGUAGCAGCAGCAGCGGCAGGGAAACAAGUGGGUGAGGGGGUAGCAAUAGCAUGAUUUUUGUUCUUGGUGGUUUUUGGGGGGAAAGGGUGAGGGUGGAGAGGGAUUUAUUUGCGUUGGGUUUUGGGAUGCGAAGAGGAAAAAAGGAGUGUUUGUGGGGCUUGAAAUAAUUGGAGAGAUAUUUUUCUUUGUAGUUUUUGGUUUGGACUGACUGAU
RNAcentral lists this unclassified non-coding RNA (1740 nucleotides) under Hevea brasiliensis (rubber tree). Lineage: Eukaryota; Viridiplantae; Streptophyta; Magnoliopsida; Malpighiales; Euphorbiaceae. The record is from RNAcentral.